RNAcentral lists this ribosomal RNA (519 nucleotides) under uncultured bacterium. Its description in RNAcentral is "partial 16S ribosomal RNA". It matches the Rfam family "Bacterial small subunit ribosomal RNA", at positions 28 to 507 of the family's 1533-position model. The record is from RNAcentral.
GACGAACGCUGGCGGCGUGCCUAAUACAUGCAAGUCGAGCGAGUCUGCCUUGAAGAUCGGAGUGCUUGCACUCUGUGAAACAAGAUUCAGGCUAGCGGCGGACGGGUGAGUAACACGUGGGUAACCUGCCCAAGAGAUCGGGAUAACACCUGGAAACAGAUGCUAAUACCGGAUAACAACAGAUGAUGCCUAUCAACUGUUUAAAAGAUGGUUCUGCUAUCACUCUUGGAUGGACCUGCGGUGCAUUAGCUAGUUGGUAGGGUAACGGCCUACCAAGGCGAUGAUGCAUAGCCGAGUUGAGAGACUGAUCGGCCACAUUGGGACUGAGACACGGCCCAAACUCCUACGGGAGGCAGCAGUAGGGAAUCUUCCACAAUGGACGCAAGUCUGAUGGAGCAACGCCGCGUGAGUGAAGAAGGGUUUCGGCUCGUAAAGCUCUGUUGUUGGUGAAGAAGGACAGGGGUAGUAACUGACCUUUGUUUGACGGUAAUCAAUUAGAAAGUCACGGCUAACUAAGUG